This 388-nucleotide ribosomal RNA is filed under the name Asphondylia gennadii. Its description in RNAcentral is "partial 12S ribosomal RNA". The record is from RNAcentral. Lineage: Eukaryota; Metazoa; Arthropoda; Insecta; Diptera; Cecidomyiidae.
UUUAAAAUUAAUUAAAAGCGACGGGCGAUAUGUAUGUAUUACUUUUAAAUAUUAAAUAUUUAAAUAUAUAAAUAUUUAAUUUUAAAUCCAAUUUCAUUUAAAUAUUAAAACUUAAAAUCCAUAUAUAAAUAAAUUUAAUGUAUUUCAUUUUUAAUCUUUUAUUUUAAAUAUAUUAUGAUUUGAAUUAAAUUAAUAAUAUAAUAUUUAUUAAUAUUUUACUAAAAUCAAUUAAACAACAAUAUAUAAUUUUAUUUAAUAAAAGUAUAUUAUAAUGUGUAUUAUCAAUUAAUAAACAAAAUCCUCUAAUUUUAAAUAAUACCACCAAAUUAUUUAAUUUUCAAAAAAAAUUUAAUAUUACUUAUUAAAAUAUUAUUAAACUAAUAUAAUA